This 1432-nucleotide long non-coding RNA is filed under the name Homo sapiens (human). RNAcentral describes it as "HSALNT0213735". Lineage: Eukaryota; Metazoa; Chordata; Mammalia; Primates; Hominidae. The record is from RNAcentral.
GGCUGGGAGGCCUCAGGAAAUGUACAAUCUUACAGUCAUGGAUGGCAGAAGGCAAAGAGGAAGCAAGCCUGUCUUAGCAUGGUAGAGCAGGAGAGAGCACUAAGCAGGAAGUGCUACACACUUUUAAACAAGCAGAUCUUGUGAGACCUCACUCAUUAUCAUGAGAAUAGCAAGGGGAAAAUCCCCCUGCCAUAAUCCAAUCACCUCCCACCAGGCCCCUCCUCCAACACUGAAGAUUAUAAUUCAACAUGAGAUUUGAGUGGGGACACAAGAGCCAAACCUUAUUGUUCUAUGGCCCUCAAUUAAUUUUUCAGUUUCUUCCUUGAUAUUGACAGAGUGAUCACCAAGUAAAUCCCAGCCACCUGAACGAUGUGUUCCAGUUCUUGGUUAGUGUGGGGAAGUGAGUAAAAUGAGUCACACAAUUAUUCUGAGUUUUACCAACGUGAAUUGACUGCUUCUGACUUGACAUCAUCCUUCACAGACCCACUGAGUGGAAUGGCAGACAAAAUAACUUGAUGGGAGGUAGACGAUGCAUCCAUUGAGGAAUGUUCUCUGUGGCAAGGCAGCAUGGUCAAAUGGGGGAUCGAAUUUUGAAGGCAAUGUUUUUCUCAUCUCUGCAACCCAGAAUUGAGUUCGGAAAAGCUAACAAGAAAGUCUAUGACUUGUCAAUAAAAGCAUUUUUAAAAAAUUGAAAGCUGCAUAACCAAAGAAAAAUAAGAGCAAAACCCCAGGACACGCCACAAAGGUGAAGACUUACUUCUAAAUGAAUGAAAGGACCUCAUUUCUACUCAAGAUCCUUGGCCCCUUUCCAAAAAUAUUCAAGUAAUGGGAUUUCUACUUGCAGGCAGACAGUGCUUCCAUCGGGGAAUGUUCUCUGAGGCAAGGCAACAUGGUCAACUAGGGAUGGAAUUUUGAAGGCAAUGCUUUUCUCAUCUCUGCAACCCAGAAUUGAGUUAUCUGUGCUCUGAGACUUUUUCUUUAUAAACCAUUUAAUGCUUCAAUGAUGGCAAAGCUAAUUCAGCUUCCCAACAGUGUUACCUCUGGAAUCCCACCUCAGGGAUUUUGUAUCCUCUAGAUCUUGGCAGUAAAUUUUUGGAAGUACUUGUUUCUGGUUAGAAGUAUUUUUAAUGUGCCCUGAUAGAUAUGGAGACAGUAUCUCCAAAAGUUGACCUUCGGAACAAUAAGCAUCAUCCUCAUCAUCACAGUAGCUUGUUGUAGUGGGCCAAGAUCAUGCCACUGCACAGCCUGGGUGACAGAGCAAGACAGAGCAAGAGCCUUCCUUUUAACUAGUCUCUCCUCUUAACAUAUUUUAUUGCUUCUAAUUAAACAUAAGGCACAAAAUACAUACAUUCCACUACAAAACCUCUUAUCAAAUAAAUUUUACAUAUUUAACAUUUAGCCUGUGAGUUCCUUUGCUAGCUCAAUGUGCUUU